This is a long non-coding RNA of Leopardus geoffroyi (Geoffroy's cat), 1521 nucleotides long. RefSeq lists it as uncharacterized. Lineage: Eukaryota; Metazoa; Chordata; Mammalia; Carnivora; Felidae. The transcript has 2 exons. The record is from RefSeq and is a predicted model, not a curated record.
UUAAUUGGAGUUUUAUAGUUUUCAGUGUACAGAUUUUUCAUCUCUUUGGAUAUUACCAGAAACAUCUUUAUGUGAAUGGAAGUGUUACGUGUAAAAAUACUCGGAGUGAUUCAUCUUCCCUUGAUGUCAGAGCCAUACAUUACCAACAAACUAAGGAGGUUAAACAGCCCACAAAAUCUCUCUACCAUAGAGAGUUGUGAAAAAUUGCACUUCUACCUGUACUGCUCUCAGGGUAAAUAUCUCUUGUUUGUCUUUCUGUUUUGCUACGUAAGCAAAAUUAUUCCACUAUCCUUCAAAUGCCCCCAAUUGAAUAAGUAUGUUCCCUUAAAAACAAGCAAACACAAAUAAAAUUCAGUUGCAUAAUUAUUAUUUUUUUUUUGUCAGCACCAGAUGCCUCUAUCUUGGGAACUUAACAAUUGCUAUGGUUAAAUAAUAGCUGUCACAAUGGAAGAGUUGUCACUGAAGAUGCAGAGCAAGUGAAGUUUUUUCCUGAUUUUAUCAUUUUUAGUGACCUCAGAUAUGCUAAUUAAGUUUUAUUUCCUUUGGUUCUUAUGUAUAAAAUGGGUAUGUAUGUAUAGGGUUUUGUGAGUAUGAAGUUCAUUGAUUAUAGCAAUUUUCUUGGAACAGUGCCAAAUGCAUAGGAAAUAGUAAAAGUUUCCACAUGGAAUUGAGUUUGAACCUUAUGAAUAAAUAUAAUUAGGAGUAUGAAUUGCCUAUAACAUACAAUUAUAUUUUAUUUUAUGUUAAUGUAAAAUAUACAAAUUAGAGACUUGUAUAAUAGUCAACAUGUAUUCAAUAUGUUUUUUUUAAUCAAGGUACACAUGUACAAAUUUAAACCUCAAAUAGUUCUAAAAUGUUUAUAAUAAAAACAGCAGUAACUUUCCUCUAACUUCUUCUCUACCAGUCUUGUUAUCCAGAGCCAAACACUUCAAAUUCUUUUAGCUAUUUCUCUGUACAUGUGACACUUAUCUAAAUUAAUCCUAGAGCUGUUAUUUCUUGGUUCCAAACUUUAGAUAUCAAUUGAGAUUCUCAAAAAGACAAUCUCCUGAGUGGAGCCACUUCUCAUGAGAUAUCAGGCUUCAUCUCAUUUUGCUAAAGCACAUCUUCACAGAGCUUCUCAAUAUAACUUCAUAGCAGAUCAAUGAUUUGUUCCAUAUAUGUGUAAAAUAAUUUCAUCUGUCUUUAUAUUUGAUUUCUACUUUGGCUUGGAAUAAAAUUCAAGGCUAAUAACCAGUUUCCUUCUGAAUUUGGAAGGCAUUUCUCUACUGUCUUCUCAUAUUCAUCAUUCUUUGAGACAUCAGAUGCCCUUCAGAUAGUAGCUCCUUUGCUUUUCCUUUCAAAAUCUUCAACAUGUAUUUGUAAUCAACUAUAUGUUUCAUUCCAUUCUUAAAUGUCAUGUUUUCCAUAUAUAUCAAGAUCCUGGGUCUUUUUCAACCAGAGAUAUACAUCCACCAUUGUGAUUUUGGGUACAUUUAUAAUGUAAUUAUAUAUAUUUCAAUAAAGGUUCCCUCAUCAUUCUAA